UUAAGAUAGGAUGAGAGGAGAGGGAGACAGAGAGCUAGUGAGAAAGAGAGAAAGAAAGAUAUGUAAGUAUUAGUAGAGAUGGAGAAGGAAAUGAAUAGGAGGAGUAGAAAAUUAGAGAAUAAAAUGAUGAUAUAAUCAUGGUGAUGAUAAUUGAAAGAAGUUGAGGUGGAUUAGAGAUUAGAGUGAGUAGUUAGUGAUUAAGAGAAACCAUGGUAGAAAUAUUUUAAGAUAGUGUUGUAUGAGGAGUAGAAGAAAGAGUGUUCUUGAUGAUAUAAUUUGGUUAUGAAGGGUUCAUGAGUUUUUAUGAUGGAGAUGAUGGAAAUGAUGAAAACUUGAUAAAAAAUCAAGUUAGACUAUAUUAACAACGAUUAUUCGAAGAAUGAACCAGUGGAUCGAAGAAAUGCAAGGUAGGCGUGGCUUGUCAUCAAAUCAGGUGGGAACUCUGUAACCUUCUUGUAAUCAUUAAGUUUAUAUUAUCUGCGAGCAUGCUGAGUCUUUAAUUUCUGUAAGCAUAUUGUUUGUAAUUCAAUGGGUAUGUUGUGCAAUAUGCGUUGGGUGGUUUCCCCGCGAAGAGUGUCUGUGUUUCCCCAUAGCUCUUGGCUAAGUUUAGUAGGGCAAUGCUACGUUGUUUGAAUAUUACCUAGUAGCCCGGAUUUACCCCGGAUAAAUAUUAUUACAUUUUAUUGUCUUAAGAUAGUAGUCCGGCUUUACCCCGGUUGAUUAUUAUAUAUAUUAUUUUAUUUGG
Molecule: long non-coding RNA, 745 nt
Organism: Papaver somniferum (opium poppy)
Lineage: Eukaryota; Viridiplantae; Streptophyta; Magnoliopsida; Ranunculales; Papaveraceae
Exons: 2
Source: RefSeq, a predicted model, not a curated record